UCCUACGGGAGGCAGCAGUGGGGAAUAUUGGACAAUGGGGGCAACCCUGAUCCAGCCAUGCCGCGUGAGUGAUGAAGGCCCUAGGGUUGUAAAGCUCUUUUGUGCGGGAAGAUAAUGACGGUACCGCAAGAAUAAGCCCCGGCUAACUUCGUGCCAGCAGCCGCGGUAAUACGAAGGGGGCUAGCGUUGCUCGGAAUCACUGGGCGUAAAGGGUGCGUAGGCGGGUCUUUAAGUCAGGGGUGAAAUCCUGGAGCUCAACUCCAGAACUGCCUUUGAUACUGAAGAUCUUGAGUUCGGGAGAGGUGAGUGGAACUGCSAGUGUAGAGGUGAAAUUCGKAGAUAUUCKCAAGAACACCAGUGGCGAAKGCGGCUCACUGGYCCGAUACUGACGCUGAGGCACGAAAGCRUGGGGAGCAAACAGGAUUAGAUACCCUGGUAGUCCACGCCGUAAACGAUGAAUGCCAGCCGUUGGUGGGUUU
RNAcentral lists this ribosomal RNA (479 nucleotides) under uncultured bacterium. RNAcentral's name for it is "bacterial SSU rRNA". It matches the Rfam family "Bacterial small subunit ribosomal RNA", at positions 337 to 833 of the family's 1533-position model. The record is from RNAcentral.